Molecule: ribosomal RNA, 442 nt
Filed under: uncultured bacterium
Lineage: Bacteria
Description: partial 16S ribosomal RNA
Rfam family: Bacterial small subunit ribosomal RNA
Source: RNAcentral
CCUACGGGGGACAGCAGUGGGGAAUAUUGGGCAAUGGGCGCAAGCCUGACCCAGCAACGCCGCGUGAAGGCAGACGGCUUUCGGGUUGUAAACUUCUUUUAAGAGGGAAGAGCAGAAGACGGUCCCUCUUGAAUCAGCCACGGCUAACUACGUGCCCGCAGCCGCGGUAAUACGUAGGUGGCACGCGUUGUCCGGAUGUUCUGGGUGGAAAGGGCGUGCAGCCGGGACGUCAAGUCAGAUGUGAAAUCCCGCGGCUCAACCGCGGAACUGCAUUUGAAACUGUUUGUCGUGAGUACCGGAGAGGUCAGCGGAAUUCCUUGUGUAGCGGUGAAAGGCGUAGAUAUAAGGAAGAACACCAGUGGCGAAGGCGGAUGACUGGACGGCAACUGACGGUGAGGCUCGAAAGCGUGGGGAGCAAACAGGAUUAGAUACCCUUGUAGUC